GACGAACGCUGGCGGCGUGCUUAACACAUGCAAGUCGAACGGUGACGAGGAGCUUGCUCCUCUGAUCAGUGGCGAACGGGUGAGUAACACGUGAGCAACCUGCCCCAGACUCUGGGAUAACAGUUGGAAACAGCUGCUAAUACCGGAUACGAGACGGAGAGGCAUCUCUACCGUCUGGAAAGUUUUUCGGUCUGGGAUGGACUCGCGGCCUAUCAGCUAGUUGGUGAGGUAAUGGCUCACCAAGGCGACGACGGGUAGCCGGCCUGAGAGGGCGACCGGCCACACUGGGACUGAGACACGGCCCAGACUCCUACGGGAGGCAGCAGUGGGGAAUAUUGCACAAUGGGCGAAAGCCUGAUGCAGCGACGCCGCGUGCAGGACGAAGGCCUCGGGUUGUAAACUGCUUUUGUACAGAACGAAAGGGACGUCUGGUUAAUACCUGGGGCAGAUGACGGUACUGUAAGAAUAAGCACCGGCUAACUACGUGCCAGCAG
RNAcentral lists this ribosomal RNA (494 nucleotides) under uncultured bacterium. RNAcentral's name for it is "bacterial SSU rRNA". It matches the Rfam family "Bacterial small subunit ribosomal RNA", at positions 28 to 514 of the family's 1533-position model. The record is from RNAcentral.